This 518-nucleotide small RNA is filed under the name Pongo abelii (Sumatran orangutan). RNAcentral's name for it is "retained intron". Lineage: Eukaryota; Metazoa; Chordata; Mammalia; Primates; Hominidae. The record is from RNAcentral.
UUAAAAAACCACCACCAACAUUGCUUUCAGAGAGAAUUUUUGGCUAAGUCCUAUUCAAACCAAUUUCUUGGCAUGAAAGGUGUAGCCCUAUGGGGUUAGCCAUAUAAAAGGAGUUUGAAUAGAAGGGGACAUGCUCCUUUUCUUCCCAAACAGAAUCACUAUUGGAUGCAACAGUGGCUACACGUCCAUGCUUGACUUACAGAGUCUUUCGAUCAUAUCUCUACCCUAACCCUCCACACCUACCCCAGUCCCCUGCCAUGUGGCAGAAACUUAAUACUCUUUCUUGAUUCCCCAGUUCUGCUUGCUGAGCUGUGGGAUACUGACCUUUUUGGCUGUCUUGGGCCGCUACGUCCCUGGGCUUCUGCUGUCCUACUUGAUGCUUGUCACUGUCAUGAUGUGGCCCCUUGCUGUGUACCACCGACUGUGGGAUCGAGCAUAUGUGCGGCUGAAGCCAGCUCUGCAGCGGCUGGACUUCAGUGUCCGUGGCUACAUGAUGUCCAAGCAGAGAGAGAGACAAU